AGGCAAUCUGGGUACUUACAGUUCUCACUCUUGGACAGCUGCCCCACUUUGACGUGGUCCAAAUUGCCGCCCAGCAUUUCGGCCACAAUCUCCUCGACGUACUCGCGGAUCUUGGCCCGUUCGUCCAUGUGGGCGUUUUGUCCAAUCUGGCUAACGCUCUCGAAUUCUGCAAGUAUAGACUAGAUAUUCCAAGUACUCCUUUCCCUGAACCGCACUUACGCAUGCUGCUGUCGUUGCCAUCGCCCACAAUCGGUAUAUACACCUCGCUCCUAGCCCUCAUCGGAUAGACAAACUUAUGCUGGUUGAAGGACAUUUGCUCGGCCACCCACGAGGAGGUGUGGGCCAGCGACUCCUUGGAGCUCUGGCACAGCUGGCACUCCCACUUGGCGUCCUUGGGCCGCCAGUCGGCGCAUUUAGGCCCGCGGCAAACCGAUUUUUCGCAGGUGCAACAUGUCACGUAGCUGCAAAAGGUUUUCCCAGAUCAUUAAUUGUAUAAUAUAUUCGCCAGUACCUUUCCAGGUCACUUAAAGAGAUAUUUAUUUAUGAGCUUAGAGCCAUUUAUGGAAAUUUAUUAUUUAGAAUGGAAGGUUUUAGUUCUCGUGGAAUCUCUCGUAAAAAAAGUUAUUUAAAUUUAACUAUACUUGUUUGCAUAAAUAAAUUUGGUUUCUUUUUAGUUCGGUGAACAGAGCAGUAAAUACCUCAACCGAUGCAGGAGAAAGCAACCAAUUCUUUUGCAAAUUAUACUUUGCAAAUGUGUUUGUUCGAAUUAUUUAUUAUAUGGCUAUCAAGAAGCCAGACUGUUGUUCAAACAAACGAAUAGAUUUCGGCAGAAAUGCUGAUAUCAGUAAGAUCAACAAUGUCAAACAGAUCCAGGUCCGCACAGCAGACGUUGCAGGCGUGAUCCUCGCUGCUGGACUCCUCCUUCCUCCACUUCUUAUUGGCUAGUUUGCUGGAAGAGACAAGGCGGAAGGAAGCGCGCGUUAUUUCGAGAAUGUUGGAUGGUGAUGGAAACAAGACGAUUAGUCAGGUCGUUUCUGGCGAUUAGCUGGGGUUAUUCAACGGCCAGAAGGUCAUUGGCUGAAACUCAGCUCAAUUAGUCGGUAGCCAUUGAUCGUGCUACUUCUGGCUUUUGGACCGACGACCACCACUUCCCCCGGCAACUAAAUAGUGGGCAGUCCCCACCCAAACGCAAUUGCAUGGGGCAAUUGACUUUCUCCCGGCUGUUAAAUCCCGCCAAUUGCAUAACAACGCAAACCCGUUGGACCAGGCAAACAAAAAGGCAAUGAGGCUUCGAACCGAGUUUAAUCAACUUAGGCGAAAUGGCCUGGCUUAAAGUAUACAUACAUGUAGCUCUAUCACAAACAACUUACAAUCUAAGAGGCAGUGCGUCUGUCUGCCUCGAUAUGCAUUCGGAUUAUGUCAGUCACUUACAGUUCUUACACAAGAGAGAAGAAGGGAAUUCCUGGGUGUCUUGUACGUGCUCGAAAUGAGAAAUCGCCAAGCGGAUUGCUGCUCAACUUAUUCAAAUGGCAAAAUUCGCAAUUUCGCUUACAAACAAACAAAUAUAAUUUAAGGAAAAAGCCAACCGUAUACGGUCAUCGAAAACAUUACGCUUGCGAAAGAUUCAAAUAACUUGCACAGGCUGUCGAAAGCGAUUGAAAACACAAGGUGUGUAGGAGAGAUGCUCAGUCAGUAUAGCCGCUUAAAACCGAUCUAAUUAAAAAUAUACACUUAUAUUCUAGCCUAAGUCUUCUAUGUGGGCAGAUGCUGCUGCUGCUGUUGGUGCUGUUGCUGCUGUCGCUGUCGAUGGAAUCGCAUCCUCCUGCGCGCCCAGUACUCAUAGUUGUUCUCCAGAUUCUCAUAGUAGAUCUGCUCCUCCCCAUCCGGGCCCCCGUUCUCCUCCCAAUCCUCGGCGGGCGGUCCGAGCACCGGAUCAGUGCUGGUCAACUUGAGCAGCACCACUUCCAUGGUGCAGGCCAUGAAGAGGAAGCCCAGCACCGCGAAGCUGAUGGGCAGGCACAUCAGCCGCUCCACCUGGCACAACACCACCGCGGAGAAGAGCAUUCUCCCUGGAACUCGAUCGACAGCUGGAUCUGUAGUGGAUUCUCUGCCGUGUGGUGUGGUGUGGGGGGCUGUUCUCCAGGUGUCGGGAUCGGGUUUUCAGGUAUUCAAAAUGUUUGUCGACUGAUUAGCGCCGGUGGGCUUGCUGGGAUUUGGCAUGGCACUCGCGUUGAACCGAUUUCGCCAAUGGAAGCACUUAAUGCCAAUUCGCUAUCAAAUCGCGAUCCGCGUCCCACGACACUGACAACUUUCUCGCACAAGGUUCGCCUUUGUUAUGCGCAGUUGGCUUUGAGAGUCGGCGGUCAACAGCUGAGAUCGGGUCUCUAUGGCUCCACAUAGCCAGAGCUAUGGAGCUGUGGCCUCUCCACAGAACCACACUGGCACAGCCACAGCCGUAUCCCAUGCCGGUUUCGAUCGUGGAGAGCGGGAAACCACUGCCUCUCUCUCUCUCUCUCUAGCGCUAAACAAACUCGUCAAUGACGUAAGUUGGAGUCCCCCUGCCCACGAUCCCGUCGGACGGGUCGACAUGUGUAUGUGGCGGAUUGGAAGCAAUGACUGCGCACAUUUCCAUGCAGAUUUAUCGCCUUUCUUCUCCGAUCACUGUGGUCCGAUCAGAUCCAAUCCGAUCUGAUCCAAGAGCUGGAAACCUGGUCGAACAGGAACCGUUUUGGAGGAGAUAUACAUACGUGGUCGAAGAUCAUCGAGCAUCAUCGCCUGUCUGCUGCAUUCAUUUGUCGACUAAUUUAUUUUUGGCCUGAACUUCAUUAAUUUCCAAAUGCUAAUUGUGAGAAACAUUCCGCAAACGAGUUGGCUUGGUUCUUGUCUGGCAAAAUACUAUGUAUAUAAUGUAUGCAUGCUGUGAGCGGUUUAUUAACUAAUCAAUCGACUUCUAGCUGGAUUCGAGUUUUAAUCACUAUUUUGGCAACAAAUGGCGCCACGGUGUUGCCGCUACACUUUCAUCGGCAUAAAGCCCGGGGAACUUUUCGAGCUGCGAUCUCAUGCCUUAAGAUUUCGAGAUUCCCUAGAAAUCUGUGCUGGGAAUCUGGGUUAAUAUAUGUAUGAUGUAUGUAUGUGAGUCUCAUGUGUCCGCCAUUAGCAUAUUCCCGCACAAGAAAGCGUCAAGCCAUCAGGUUGUGUCAGGUUAUUAAUAUCCCAACAGGGCCAGAAGCUUUCACAAAUGCUCCUCUGAUAGCAUAAUCUACAGAAUUUCCCAGAACUUCGAGCCGGAGAUUAAUAAAUUCUUGGUAGAAGCGAGCAAGUGGCAUCGUAAAUUGUUUUAUUGAUAUGAGUGUAAUAAUCUUUUGAUUAUCUCCGAGUUUACUAUCCGGCUUUCGUGAGAUCAUCAUUGACCGUAUCUAAAUGGAUUCAUGAAUUAUCUUGAAUAUCUUAAUUCACCUGGCCAAAUCUUAAAUUUAUUUAAAUUCAAAUAAAACUCAUAUGCCUAAAAGCAUGCUUUAUUACGUAGAAAACGAUUUUCAACAGCCUUAACCAUAAGCAAACUCGAAAACAAUACUGCUCAAUAGUAAGUAAAUAAUAUCGCAUUAGUUUAAACAUUUUCCACAACUUGUUAUUGUUCUCACAAUUGGUUUUGAAAGCACUAAAAAUAUUU
Non-coding RNA from Drosophila melanogaster (fruit fly), 3670 nucleotides. NCBI's taxonomy places the organism in Eukaryota, Metazoa, Arthropoda, Insecta, Diptera, Drosophilidae. The record is from Ensembl.